AGAGGGGUUUGGGAUCUGGCUCAGGAUGAACGCUGGCGGUAUGCUUAACACAUGCAAGUCGAACGAAGUGCUUCGGCACUUAGUGGCGGACGGGUGAGUAACGCGUGAGAAUCUGCCUUUAGGACUGGGACAACAGCUGGAAACGGCUGCUAAUACCAGAUAUGCAAGUAAGUGAAAAAGGGAAACCUGCCUGAAGAUGAGCUCGCGUCUGAUUAGCUAGUUGGUGGGGUAAAAGCCUACCAAGGCUCCGAUCAGUAACUGGUCUGAGAGGAUGACCAGUCACACUGGGACUGAGACACGGCCCAGACUCCUACGGGAGGCAGCAGUGGGGAAUUUUCCGCAAUGGGCGAAAGCCUGACGGAGCAAUACCGCGUGAGGGAGGAAGGCCCUUGGGUUGUAAACCUCUUUUCUCAGGGAAGAAUACUGACGGUACCUGAGGAAUCAGCAUCGGCUAACUCCGUGCCAGCAGCCGCGGUAAUACGGAGGAUGCAAGCGUUAUCCGGAAUUAUUGGGCGUAAAGCGUCUGUAGGUGGAUAUUCAAGUCUGCUGUCAAAGACCGGGGCUUAACCCUGGAAAGGCGGUGGAAACUGAACGUCUAGAGUGCGGUAGGGGCAGAGGGAAUUCCCAGUGUAGCGGUGAAAUGCGGAGAGAUUGGGAAGAACACCGGUGGCGAAAGCGCUCUGCUAGGCCAAACUGACACUGAUGGACGAAAGCUAGGGGAGCGAAUGGGAUUAGAUACGCCCAGUUAGUCCUA
This 754-nucleotide ribosomal RNA is filed under the name uncultured cyanobacterium. RNAcentral describes it as "bacterial SSU rRNA". It matches the Rfam family "Bacterial small subunit ribosomal RNA", at positions 1 to 798 of the family's 1533-position model. The record is from RNAcentral. Lineage: Bacteria; Bacillati; Cyanobacteriota.